RNAcentral lists this transfer RNA (74 nucleotides) under Ectopseudomonas oleovorans. RNAcentral describes it as "tRNA-Lys". It matches the Rfam family "tRNA". From Rfam's summary of the family: Transfer RNA (tRNA) molecules are approximately 80 nucleotides in length. RNAcentral also lists the same sequence under 1 other name. Lineage: Bacteria; Pseudomonadati; Pseudomonadota; Gammaproteobacteria; Pseudomonadales; Pseudomonadaceae. The record is from RNAcentral.
GGGUCGUUAGCUCAGUUGGUAGAGCAGUUGGCUUUUAACCAAUUGGUCGUAGGUUCGAAUCCUACGACCCACCA